AUGGACUCUAAAAUAAAUUAAAAUAUAUUUGUUAUUAACUGUUUUAAUUAAAAAGCUUGUCCUGUUCUUACAAAUAAGGGCGUCGAAAAAAAUUUUAAAGCUUUUGAGCGAAUUUUUGCCCAACACUCCAUCAAUAUUGACCUGCAUGGCCAAUUCGUGCGUUAUAAUAUUCUUCAGGUUUUUCACCACCCCAGAACCCUGGACAAUUUGAGUCAUACAUUUGAUCUGCAAGAAAGUAAAGGGGUUGAAACGGUAAAAACUAAAAAAAAAAUCGAAAUUUACUGAAACGUAUUUUUAAUAAGGAAAUCGAAAGAAAAAAUAUUACUUACGUAGUUCUUCUUUCCGAUAAAAUCCUGCAAAGUAGCACUUCUAAACUUUUCAACGCACCUGUACCUCUCAUUCCUUACUAGACAUCUGCGCUCUUACCUAAAAUUUUUUUUGUUACCUUCAUUUGUCUUUAUUUUUUAUUAUUAUAACUUCUUUAUUAUUAUUAUUUGUUUUAUUUCACUUGCAAACUUUUUUAACGUUAAUAUUAUAUUGAUUGAUUAUUAUAGUAUUAAUGUAUCUUUGAUAAUUUACUUAACACUUUAUUUUUUUAAUUUUUUAUUCGACUUUAAUUUUUUCACAAUAACAACACUAAACUAAUUUUUUUUUAUUUAAGGAAUGUCUGUUCUUUAUUGACCUUUUUCGACUGUUCUUCAACUACAAUUGACACUAAAGAUCUAAACAAUUUAGUGUAAAAAUAACAAAGGCAGACUGAGCGAUCGAUCGAACUACAAUUCCUGCGAAUUUCUGCAGGAAUAGUACGGGACACUAUAUUUCUGUUGAAUUUUGAUCUGCUCGCACAUUGUUGCGGGCAAUUGCAAAAUUUCUUGUAAAUUUGAAAAUUAAGAAAUUUAGUCGUCCACUUGUAUGUACAGUAAUCCCCGCUUAAGUGUACCUUCUUAACAUGCAAGACCUUUGAGACACUUAAAACGAAAGGCACUUAAAUGAAUCCCACUUAAGUGCCUCGAGGUACUUACCAAGCUUUUUCUCAAAUACUUCGAUCUAAUAUUUUUUCUUUUAGAAUGAAAGUCACAUUUAUUUCUUAUUAAUAACAAAAAUACUUAUUAAUAACAAUAAAAAUGAAAAAAAAAAAAAAUUACAAAACUAUGUACAUACAUAUAUAUUUUCCCUUUGACAAUACUCAUCGCAUUCAAUAAAUAUUACAUUAUUAUUAAAUAAUAAAUAUUACAGGCAUUUAACCGGGGAUAUACUGUAUAUUAUCAGUAAAUCGCACACUUUUCGUUCAGUCGGAAUAAUGUUGUUAUUGCAAUUUCAUAUACGCAUUGAGUUUCGUUUUUUAGGGGUGGGUUUUUUCAGAUUCGAUGCCUCGUUGUAUUACAAAUCAUUAGCGAAAAGACUAACUACCGGUAAUGCAUGAAAUCGCUAGUAGAAUUCGCGCUCUGGUAAUCGCUAGACACCAGCCGAACUACAGGGUACUAAUAAAUAAACAUAUUUAUAUGUAUGCACAAGAUAACCUAUUGGUUAUAAAAAUACAUUGGGGCAGUUGCUUGUGCGCAUUUGAAAUAACCCCUUAUCGUGCAACAUAUAAAAUAUACAUAUAGACAUACACACAUACACAUAUAAUUAGUUUUUAAGAUAAUUAUAAAAUUUGUAUAUAAGUAAGUAAAAAACCAAAAUAAAACUAGAAUGAAAUAAUUUCUCAAUAAGGCUAGACUAUCACUUAUUUUCCCCCACCAGCGGUAAGAAAUAUUUGAAAUAGCUAGUUUUAACAUUUGAGAAUGAAUUAAAUUCUCACUCAAUGCAAGUCUAUCAUUGCCCCCCACCAGCGGUAAGGUUUGUUAGCAACUACAUUGUUUUAUAAAAAUUGGUAGACCGGAUGUUUUUUUACAUUGGUCCUAUCGAGCCUAUGAAAGAGCUCAGCCAAAACAAAAGCCCUGAAUUUAAUACAGGCAAAAUAUAAGCCCUGUUAUUUAUACAGGCACCAUAAAAAGCCCUGUUAGUUAGAUAGGCAAAAUAAAAAGCCCUGUUAUUUACACAGGCAACAUUAAAACCCUGCUUAUAAUUCAGGCAAAAUAAAAUAAUAAUUGUAAGACGGGUGCAUAUUCCCGCAUAUUAACAAUAUAAAAACAACAAUUUUUGUCGCGAGAAUAUAGCAAUAAGGUUCUACAAAAUGUGGAAGACUGAACCUAAAUACCAAUAUCUGGAUCGAAAAACGUCCAUGAUCAUGAGGAAAAUUGAAACCUUCAAAAAUAAAAUGGAAAAUCUAAGUUUAGAAUUAACAAUAAAGAAUUAUCAACUAAGCUAUUUGCAAUCAUUAUACAAUGAUAUUCAGAAGAUGAAAAACAAAUUAGAUUUCAAUGAAGAAAUUGAAAUCAUAUAUGACCAAAUAGGUGAUGAAUUUUUUCAAGAGCUUUGUUAUUUUAAUCGACAAUUACAACAAGAAGAGUCAAAAAAUACUUUUCGAAGUAAUUUGGAUAAAGAAGAAUUUAUAAUAAUUCCAAAAUUCUCUUCAUCUACCACAACAAAGCUGGUUAAAACAAAACCAAUACAAAAAGAAAAAGAGGAAUUGAUAAAUAUUCCAAAUUUAAAAAACAAAUUAAACCUAUCUCCAAACCUCUCUUCUGAAGUUGAACGAACUAAAGUUGAUAAAACAAGUGAUUCAGAAGAAGAAGAGUUUAUAAUUGUUCCCGAUCUCAAUCUAUUUUCUAAAACUAAGAAGAGACCAACUAAAUUAGUUGAAGAUAAGAAAGUAGAAGAAGAAGAUUUUAUAAUACUUCCAAAAUUCUCUCUAUCUUCUGCAAAUGAAUUGGUUAAAAAAACUAAAGUAGAAGAAGAAGAAAAGAAAGAAAGGAACGAAAACAAAAUUACAGAAAACAAAAUACAGGAAGAGACUACUGAGCACCCUACUUCUGAGGAAAAAUCAACUGAUGCGGUUGAAACCUCAGAUGUAGACAUACAUAAAAUUAAAAAUGAAAAAGCUGAAACUGGAGAUCAAGAAGUUGAGAGCAAUAUUCUCGCCAAUGAGCAAAUAACCUGGCAUUUUUCUCCUCCGGCAGACCCACAUUUUGGAGAAAUGUGGAAAGCUGGCGUUACCGAUCAAACAUGCAAACUUUCAACGUUAUUAAAAUGCGGGGACACCAACUACUGUACUACAACAUUCGAAGACAUCACUUUAAUCGACAUACAAAUAUAUAAAAUGCAGAGCGACAUCAAUCCGGAGCUGAACCCGAUCGUAACAUCUAUAAAAGAAAUUGCAGAAGACCAACUAACUACUCUUCAAAUAAGUAAAAUAUACGACAAAGAAGAGCAGAAAAAGCUGCGAGAAGGCAUUGAGAAGAUCAGCAACAACGUACUAAAAUUACUAUUACUCAAUAUUUAUAAAAUUUAUACAGUCCACUAAUUAUAUAUAAUAAUUUCUUUCCCUCGGCAAUAUGUUCAAAUAUCAUUGAACAUGCAUUCUUUUAUGCCUUAGCAAAUCCGAGGAGCUACAUAUAAAACAUAAAUUUGUAUACAUAAAUAAACACAUAAACAUAUAUGCAUUAAUAUGCUACAAACAUACAUUAUAUGUUGCACGCAUACAUGCAACACACAUACAUUUAUAUGAAGCUCUCAUACAUCUAUAUGCAACACGCAUGCACUCAACUACUAAUAAAUAAACAUAUUUAUAUGUAUGCACAAGAUAACCUAUUGGUUAUAAAAAUACAUUGGGGCAAUUGCUUGUGUGCAUUUGAAAUAACCCCUUAUCGUGCAACAUAUAAAAUAUACAUAUAGACAGACACACAUACACAUAUAAUUAGUUCUUAAGAUAAUUCUAAAAUUUGUAUAUAAGUAAGUAAAAAACCAAAAUAAAACUAGAAUGAAAUAAUUUCUCAAUAAGGCUAGACUAUCACUUAUUUUCCCCCACCAGCGAUUCACAAAUGGUCGCAUACUUAUUGGGGUCUGCCUCGAUGGGUUCUAUUCUUGCAAAAUUAUCACAUAGUAUUACCACGAAAACAUCACCGCAUUCAUCACGUAGCACCGCAUGAGACAUACUUUUGCAUUACAA
This is an RNA transcript of Zeugodacus cucurbitae (melon fly), 4051 nucleotides long. It is a transcript of the gene named plasmanylethanolamine desaturase, with no coding region annotated. The record is from RefSeq and is a predicted model, not a curated record. Lineage: Eukaryota; Metazoa; Arthropoda; Insecta; Diptera; Tephritidae. The transcript has 2 exons.